ACUCCUGUAAGCAUAAAUGUGUUAGUGUGAUUUGCUAAUCAACAGAUCAUUUGGCUCUCAACGCAAAUCAAGGGACCGUUUGAGUGAGAAAUAGCUUACGUUUGGGGGCUGCUCUUUAGUACUCUCAAAAGAGUUAGGUUGGGAUGGGUGAAAGCUCAUAUCAUAGUUUUUAUACAUCCUAAAAUUUAUUAGACUACUCUACUUGAAUCCUUGUUUAAAUCGCUAAGUUAUUUCGGCGUAAAGUUAUUUUUAUAUCUUCCUGCUCUCUGCUUUCUUAUUUGUCCUUCGUGUAUGCUAAAGGAGAUGGCUUAAAACUUUGAUCAAAUUGAGUCUAAACUUGCUUAUCUUUAAACUAUGUAUGAAUUCGUUUCGCACUCUUUUUUUUUUUUNNNNN
This 394-nucleotide long non-coding RNA is filed under the name Solanum tuberosum (potato). Its description in RNAcentral is "long non-coding RNA (STUB_LNC000975)". Lineage: Eukaryota; Viridiplantae; Streptophyta; Magnoliopsida; Solanales; Solanaceae. The record is from RNAcentral.